AGUGAACGCUGGCGGUAGGCCUAACACAUGCAAGUCGAACGGCAGCACAGUAAGAGCUUGCUCUUACGGGUGGCGAGUGGCGGACGGGUGAGGAAUACAUCGGAAUCUACUUUUUCGUGGGGGAUAACGUAGGGAAACUUACGCUAAUACCGCAUACGACCUACGGGUGAAAGCAGGGGAUCUUCGGACCUUGCGCGAUUGAUUGAGCCGAUGUCGGAUUAGCUAGUUGGCGGGGUAAAGGCCCACCAAGGCGACGAUCCGUAGCUGGUCUGAGAGGAUGAUCAGCCACACUGGAACUGAGACACGGUCCAGACUCCUACGGGAGGCAGCAGUGGGGAAUAUUGGACAAUGGGCGCAAGCCUGAUCCAGCCAUACCACGUGGGUGAAGAAGGCCUUCGGGUUGUAAAGCCCUUUUGUUGGGAAAGAAAAGCAGCAGGUUAAUACCCCGCUGUUCUGACGGUACCCAAAGAAUAAGCACCGGCUAACUUCGUG
This 492-nucleotide ribosomal RNA is filed under the name uncultured bacterium. RNAcentral's name for it is "partial 16S ribosomal RNA". It matches the Rfam family "Bacterial small subunit ribosomal RNA", at positions 29 to 507 of the family's 1533-position model. The record is from RNAcentral.